CACGUAUUUAGCCGUCGCUUCUUCUGCAGGUACCGUCACUUCCUUCUUCCCUGCUGAAAGCACUUUACAAUCCGAAAACCUUCCUCGUGCACACAGAAUUGCUGGAUCAGGGUUGCCCCCAUUGUCCAAUAUUCCCCACUGCUGCCUCCCGUAGGAGUAAGGGUCGUAUCUCAGUCCCCUUGUGGCCGUUUCACCCUCUCAGGCCGGCUACCUAUCAUCGCCUUGGUGGGCCGUUACCCCGCCAACAAGCUAAUAGGACGCAAAGCUCUCCCGCAGCAUCUCUUUUCAUUGCCAGGCACAUGCGUGCCGGCAACUGUAUCAGGUGUUGUCAGUCGUUUCCGUCUGUUAUCCCUGUCUGCAGGGCAAGUUCUUUACGCGUUACUCACCCGUCCGCCUUGGCUAGCCUGUGCAAGCACAGAUUCGCCAAAGACUUGCAUGUGUUAAGCAUUCUGUCAGCGUUCAUCCUGAGCCAGGAUACAAACUCU
RNAcentral lists this ribosomal RNA (485 nucleotides) under uncultured Leptotrichia sp. RNAcentral describes it as "partial 16S ribosomal RNA". Lineage: Bacteria; Fusobacteriati; Fusobacteriota; Fusobacteriia; Fusobacteriales; Leptotrichiaceae. The record is from RNAcentral.